This 1355-nucleotide ribosomal RNA is filed under the name Lactiplantibacillus plantarum. RNAcentral describes it as "bacterial SSU rRNA". It matches the Rfam family "Bacterial small subunit ribosomal RNA", at positions 62 to 1393 of the family's 1533-position model. The record is from RNAcentral. Lineage: Bacteria; Bacillati; Bacillota; Bacilli; Lactobacillales; Lactobacillaceae.
UCUGGUAUUGAUUGGUGCUUGCAUCAUGAUUUACAUUUGAGUGAGUGGCGAACUGGUGAGUAACACGUGGGAAACCUGCCCAGAAGCGGGGGAUAACACCUGGAAACAGAUGCUAAUACCGCAUAACAACUUGGACCGCAUGGUCCGAGCUUGAAAGAUGGCUUCGGCUAUCACUUUUGGAUGGUCCCGCGGCGUAUUAGCUAGAUGGUGGGGUAACGGCUCACCAUGGCAAUGAUACGUAGCCGACCUGAGAGGGUAAUCGGCCACAUUGGGACUGAGACACGGCCCAAACUCCUACGGGAGGCAGCAGUAGGGAAUCUUCCACAAUGGACGAAAGUCUGAUGGAGCAACGCCGCGUGAGUGAAGAAGGGUUUCGGCUCGUAAAACUCUGUUGUUAAAGAAGAACAUAUCUGAGAGUAACUGUUCAGGUAUUGACGGUAUUUAACCAGAAAGCCACGGCUAACUACGUGCCAGCAGCCGCGGUAAUACGUAGGUGGCAAGCGUUGUCCGGAUUUAUUGGGCGUAAAGCGAGCGCAGGCGGUUUUUUAAGUCUGAUGUGAAAGCCUUCGGCUCAACCGAAGAAGUGCAUCGGAAACUGGGAAACUUGAGUGCAGAAGAGGACAGUGGAACUCCAUGUGUAGCGGUGAAAUGCGUAGAUAUAUGGAAGAACACCAGUGGCGAAGGCGGCUGUCUGGUCUGUAACUGACGCUGAGGCUCGAAAGUAUGGGUAGCAAACAGGAUUAGAUACCCUGGUAGUCCAUACCGUAAACGAUGAAUGCUAAGUGUUGGAGGGUUUCCGCCCUUCAGUGCUGCAGCUAACGCAUUAAGCAUUCCGCCUGGGGAGUACGGCCGCAAGGCUGAAACUCAAAGGAAUUGACGGGGGCCCGCACAAGCGGUGGAGCAUGUGGUUUAAUUCGAAGCUACGCGAAGAACCUUACCAGGUCUUGACAUACUAUGCAAAUCUAAGAGAUUAGACGUUCCCUUCGGGGACAUGGAUACAGGUGGUGCAUGGUUGUCGUCAGCUCGUGUCGUGAGAUGUUGGGUUAAGUCCCGCAACGAGCGCAACCCUUAUUAUCAGUUGCCAGCAUUAAGUUGGGCACUCUGGUGAGACUGCCGGUGACAAACCGGAGGAAGGUGGGGAUGACGUCAAAUCAUCAUGCCCCUUAUGACCUGGGCUACACACGUGCUACAAUGGAUGGUACAACGAGUUGCGAACUCGCGAGAGUAAGCUAAUCUCUUAAAGCCAUUCUCAGUUCGGAUUGUAGGCUGCAACUCGCCUACAUGAAGUCGGAAUCGCUAGUAAUCGCGGAUCAGCAUGCCGCGGUGAAUACGUUCCCGGGCCUUGUACACACCGC